RNAcentral lists this ribosomal RNA (484 nucleotides) under uncultured bacterium. RNAcentral describes it as "partial 16S ribosomal RNA". It matches the Rfam family "Bacterial small subunit ribosomal RNA", at positions 30 to 507 of the family's 1533-position model. The record is from RNAcentral.
AUUGAACGCUGGCGGCAUGCUUUACACAUGCAAGUCGAACGGCAUCGCUGGCUUCGUCCUGGCGGCGCGUGGCGAACGGGUGUGUCAUGCAUCGGAACGUGCCCUUUCGUGGGGGUUUGCCCGGCGAAAGCCGGUUUAUUACCGCAUACGUCCUUAGGGUGAUCGCUGGGUACCGAAAGGCCUGGCGCUUUUGGUGCUGCCGAUGUCGGAUUAGCUAGUUGGUGGGGUAACGGCUUACCAAGUCGACGAUCCGUAGCUGUUCUGAGAGGACGACCAGCCACACUAGGACUGAGAUGAGGCACGGACUCCUACGGGAGGCAGCAGAGGAGAAUGUAGGACAAUGGGGGCAACCGAGAUCCAGCCAAGCCGCGUGGGGGAAGAAAGCAUGCGGGUAGGAAACCGCUUUUGUUCGGGAAGAAAGAUUCUGGGCUAAAACCCCAGGGGGAUGAAGGUACCGGAAGAAUAAGCACCGGCUAACUACGUG